UGCGUAGGCGGAACUUUAAGUCAGUGGUGAAAUCCCGGGGCUCAACCCCGGAACUGCCAUUGAUACUGGAAGUCUUGAAUUUGGUUGAAGUGGGCGGAAUGUAGCAUGUAGCGGUGAAAUGCUUAGAUAUGCUACAGAACACCGAUCGCGAAGGCAGCUCACUAAGCCAAUAUUGACGCUCAGGCACGAAAGCGUGGGGAGCGAACAGGAUUAGAUACCCUGGUAGUCC
RNAcentral lists this ribosomal RNA (229 nucleotides) under uncultured bacterium. Its description in RNAcentral is "partial 16S ribosomal RNA". It matches the Rfam family "Bacterial small subunit ribosomal RNA", at positions 568 to 796 of the family's 1533-position model. The record is from RNAcentral.